RNAcentral lists this long non-coding RNA (2079 nucleotides) under Homo sapiens (human). RNAcentral describes it as "HSALNT0312847". The record is from RNAcentral. Lineage: Eukaryota; Metazoa; Chordata; Mammalia; Primates; Hominidae.
GUAAAACUUUAUGUUUUAUUUUUUAAUUUUUUGUAUGUGUGGCUACCAUUUCAACUAAAACUUAGGGUGGGAACCUAUCUGAGGAUCUUUUUUAAAGCUGGAUACCUUAUAGAACUUGUAAAAUAAAAAUCUUUUUUUCUUUUACAAUCUUUUACAAUUUUUCUUUUACAAUCUUUUAAAAAGGGAUCUAUAUCACUUAAAUCCUCAAAAAAAGGUUAUAUCAUGAGGGAAUAGAAGAAAUACUUUCUGUUGACAUAAACAGUAAUUGAUAAGGUUUUCUUGAAUACUUUUAUAGAAAUGCUGAUGUAUUACACUUAAGAUUACUAGUUAGCUCUCAUUUCCUUUCAACUUUUGCCUCUGGAUAAGCUCAACUAUUCCCAGGAAGAAACAGUGAUCAAGUACAUUUGUCAUGCGAGCAGCUAUAAUAAGGUAAUUCAUCAUAAUCUGUCAGAGUUUUAUUCUAGAAAGACUGCUACAUUUUUUUUCUUACUUAAAAAUCUGCUGUCACUCCUGUUGAAAAUUUGGUAGACAUUUUGGACAUGUUUAAAAGCCCUUCCAAACUGAUAGUUGCAGAUAAUUAAGUUAUUGGCUAUCAAAGAUUCUUUUUCUCUUUUUCUUUUUCUUUUUUUUUAACAAUAUAUAUGACACUAUGAACCCUUCUAGCUAGUUUAAUCUGACCUGUUCACAGAGCAUGAUCCCUCAUUCCCUUUCCUUUUUCCUCCUUAAGAGUAGCCAACGACCAAAGUAAUUCACAAUGACAAAUGAAGCCUUUCUCAAGAGUCUAAUUGAGCAAUUUUGUUUUCCUUUGCAAGACCUGAAAUCUACAGCAUUCUGAACUCCAUUCACUGAAGUGGCAAGAGAUAGUGGUCAGAAGGAAACUAGGUGGAUUAAGGGGUUUCUAGAAAACAAGUAAAUAAACUCUACCUAGGUGUGACAUCUUACAUCUCAGUAAUAUUUCAAUUCAUCUACUCAAUUACUUACUCCGUGUAUCCUUUACUUUAAGCCAUUUUUAAUAAAGUUUCAUUGUGAUGUGUACUUUAUUGAAUCCUAAAGUCUCAGUCACUACUCUCUCAUUCUUUUGUAAUACUUCCUGCAUUUUUUCAGCGUUUAAAUUCAUGCUUUCUUAGAAGAAGAAUUAUAUUAGUCUUUUCUCUAGCCAAUUGUGUGAUAUCCUUUUGUACUACCUUAGAGAUAGACUGUGUUUGGCUUAAGGACAAGAAAGGAGAUAUAAUAAAUGUUUUAAUUGGCUUUUCAAAAAAUUUACAUUAUUCUCAUACAAUGUACAUUUUAUACAUUAACUGAUUAUCAAACCCAAGAGCAUGUUCUCAUUGGUAGCAACCACUGGCAAAGUAUUAAACGAAGAUAUACAUAUAUGUGCAUAUUCAAAUAUAUAUGUGCGUAUAUAUACAUGUAUGUAAUGUUUUAAUGACUGCUAAAUACAAAAGAAUAUGUAAAUACAUAUUGAAGUAUAAAUUAUGAUAUAAAUAUAUUGUUAUUCUCUUCUAGUAAUUUGAAUUUAAGUUGUCUGGUGUCAUAUAUUUUCAAGCUAACUGGUAAUAAUAUUUUUAAAAAUUCAUACAACGUUAGGUCUCUUACAAUUCUUUAUUCUCUCAUUCCAAAAUAUUUAUUGAGUACCUGCUGUGUUGAUAAUACUAUUUCAUCUCAAGGAAGGCUUGGUAAAUUCCUGUGAAAAAUGUUAUUUUUCCUAACUUAACAAAGGAUGGAAGCAUAGGUGAAAAUGGUUUACUCUGCAUCAGGUAGGCAUUUACACAAAAUCUAAGGCUUAAGUGUCAUUCUGCUCAAUCUUUUCUCUAAUAUUUAAGGAGAAGAUACUUAAAACUUUUAAAGUCAUUGACAUUUAAUACCAAUCUUUCAAGUAAAAUAGAUGUUACAUUAUCCUAAUCACCACAUUUUAAUUAUUUUAUUUGCUUUGACCAAAUCAUUAAAGGCUUGAUAUAAAGAUGUGCAAAUAAGUAAAACUGAAUUGAAAUCAUUAUAUGAGUACUUCAGAUUUUUGGUUGGUAAUCUGAAAACAACUGGUGACAUUCGUUUAUAUUUUAAUAAAUUUAAAUGUAAUGG